Molecule: ribosomal RNA, 2016 nt
Filed under: Salmonella enterica subsp. enterica serovar Kottbus
Lineage: Bacteria; Pseudomonadati; Pseudomonadota; Gammaproteobacteria; Enterobacterales; Enterobacteriaceae
Description: partial 23S ribosomal RNA
Rfam family: Bacterial large subunit ribosomal RNA
Source: RNAcentral
AGGCGAACCGGGGGAACUGAAACAUCUAAGUACCCCGAGGAAAAGAAAUCAACCGAGAUUCCCCCAGUAGCGGCGAGCGAACGGGGAGGAGCCCAGAGCCUGAAUCAGCAUGUGUGUUAGUGGAAGCGUCUGGAAAGGCGCGCGAUACAGGGUGACAGCCCCGUACACAAAAGCGCAUGUGCUGUGAGCUCGAUGAGUAGGGCGGGACACGUGGUAUCCUGUCUGAAUAUGGGGGGACCAUCCUCCAAGGCUAAAUACUCCUGACUGACCGAUAGUGAACCAGUACCGUGAGGGAAAGGCGAAAAGAACCCCGGCGAGGGGAGUGAAAAAGAACCUGAAACCGUGUACGUACAAGCAGUGGGAGCCCCACCACUAAGCCAGUGGUGAACUCCACAUACGCAUCCUUUGCUGAGGAUACGGUUAACGGAGCGAAAGCGACGUUCAACCUCAAAAGAAGCAGAGGGGGCUUAGUGGUGGGGUGACUGCGUACCUUUUGUAUAAUGGGUCAGCGACUUAUAUUCUGUAGCAAGGUUAACCGCAUAGGGGAGCCGUAGGGAAACCGAGUCUUAACCGGGCGUUAAGUUGCAGGGUAUAGACCCGAAACCCGGUGAUCUAGCCAUGGGCAGGUUGAAGGUUGGGUAACACUAACUGGAGGACCGAACCGACUAAUGUUGAAAAAUUAGCGGAUGACCUGUGGCUGGGGGUGAAAGGCCAAUCAAACCGGGAGAUAGCUGGUUCUCCCCGAAAGCUAUUUAGGUAGCGCCUCGUGAAUUCAUCUCCGGGGGUAGAGCACUGUUUCGGCUAGGGGGCCAUCCCGGCUUACCAACCCGAUGCAAACUGCGAAUACCGGAGAAUGUUAUCACGGGAGACACACGGCGGGUGCUAACGUCCGUCGUGAAGAGGGAAACAACCCAGACCGCCAGCUAAGGUCCCAAAGUCAUGGUUAAGUGGGAAACGAUGUGGGAAGGCCCAGACAGCCAGGAUGUUGGCUUAGAAGCAGCCAUCAUUUAAAGAAAGCGUAAUAGCUCACUGGUCGAGUCGGCCUGCGCGGAAGAUGUAACGGGGCUAAACCAUGCACCGAAGCUGCGGCAGCGACACUGUGUGUUGUUGGGUAGGGGAGCGUUCUGUAAGCCUGCGAAGGUGGCCUGUGAGGGUUGCUGGAGGUAUCAGAAGUGCGAAUGCUGACAUAAGUAACGAUAAAGCGGGUGAAAAGCCCGCUCGCCGGAAGACCAAGGGUUCCUGUCCAACGUUAAUCGGGGCAGGGUGAGUCGACCCCUAAGGCGAGGCCGAAAGGCGUAGUCGAUGGGAAACGGGUUAAUAUUCCCGUACUUGGUGUUACUGCGAAGGGGGGACGGAGAAGGCUAUGUUGGCCGGGCGACGGUUGUCCCGGUUUAAGCGUGUAGGUGUGUGUUCCAGGUAAAUCCGGUUCACUUUAACACUGAGGCGUGAUGACGAGGCACUACGGUGCUGAAGCAACAAAUGCCCUGCUUCCAGGAAAAGCCUCUAAGCAUCAGGUAACAUCAAAUCGUACCCCAAACCGACACAGGUGGUCAGGUAGAGAAUACCAAGGCGCUUGAGAGAACUCGGGUGAAGGAACUAGGCAAAAUGGUGCCGUAACUUCGGGAGAAGGCACGCUGACACGUAGGUGAAGUGAUUUACUCAUGGAGCUGAAGUCAGUCGAAGAUACCAGCUGGCUGCAACUGUUUAUUAAAAACACAGCACUGUGCAAACACGAAAGUGGACGUAUACGGUGUGACGCCUGCCCGGUGCCGGAAGGUUAAUUGAUGGGGUCAGCGCAAGCGAAGCUCCUGAUCGAAGCCCCGGUAAACGGCGGCCGUAACUAUAACGGUCCUAAGGUAGCGAAAUUCCUUGUCGGGUAAGUUCCGACCUGCACGAAUGGCGUAAUGAUGGCCAGGCUGUCUCCACCCGAGACUCAGUGAAAUUGAACUCGCUGUGAAGAUGCAGUGUACCCGCGGCAAGACGGAAAGACCCCGUGAACCUUUACUAUAGCUUGAC